GAUGAAGAACGUAGCGAAAUGCGAUAAGUAAUGUGAAUUGCAGAAUUCAGUGAAUCAUCGAAUCUUUGAACGCAUCUUGCGCUCCUUGGUAUUCUGAGGAGCAUGCCUGUUUGAGUGCCAUUAAAUUCUCAACUACACUGACUUUGAAUUGGUGUGGCUUGGAUUUGGGGGGAAAAUUGUUGUGGGCUUUUUGUAUAGUCUGCUCCCCUGAAAUUGAUUAGCGGUACCUUUGUGGAACUGUCUACAGGUGUGAUAAUUAUCUACAUCUUAGACAUCUGCUGGAAUGCUGCUCUCUAAACCUUACUUGUAUUGACAAUCUUGACCUCAAAUCAGGUAGGACUACCCGCUGAACUUAAGCAUAUCAAUAAGCGGAGGA
RNAcentral lists this unclassified non-coding RNA (376 nucleotides) under soil metagenome. RNAcentral's name for it is "partial contains 5.8S ribosomal RNA, internal transcribed spacer 2, and large subunit ribosomal RNA". The stretch from base 1 to 120 matches the Rfam family "5.8S ribosomal RNA", at positions 35 to 154 of the family's 154-position model. The record is from RNAcentral.